RNAcentral lists this ribosomal RNA (253 nucleotides) under uncultured bacterium. RNAcentral's name for it is "partial 16S ribosomal RNA". It matches the Rfam family "Bacterial small subunit ribosomal RNA", at positions 524 to 776 of the family's 1533-position model. The record is from RNAcentral.
UACGGAGGUUGCAAGCGUUAUCCGGAUUUAUUGGGUUUAAAGGGUGCGUAGGCGGGAUAAUAAGUCAGUGGUGAAAACCUGCAGCUUAACUGUAGAACUGCCAUUGAUACUGUUAUUCUUGAGUAUAGUUGAGGUGGGCGGAAUGUGUAAUGUAGCGGUGAAAUGCUUAGAUAUUACACAGAACACCAAUUGCGUAGGCAGCUCACUAAACUACAACUGACGCUGAGGCACGAACGCGUGGGGAGCAAGCAGG